GUCAGGAUAGCUCAGUCGGCAGAGCAGAGGACUGAAAAUU
Molecule: transfer RNA, 40 nt
Filed under: Erica carnea
Lineage: Eukaryota; Viridiplantae; Streptophyta; Magnoliopsida; Ericales; Ericaceae
Description: partial transfer RNA-Phe
Source: RNAcentral